This is a long non-coding RNA of Panonychus citri (citrus red mite), 3281 nucleotides long. RefSeq lists it as uncharacterized. The transcript has 3 exons. Lineage: Eukaryota; Metazoa; Arthropoda; Arachnida; Trombidiformes; Tetranychidae. The record is from RefSeq and is a predicted model, not a curated record.
UAGAGGUACCAUAGAUUUAAAGAGAAAUAGAGAAAAGAGAUGGAGAUGAAGAGGUCAGAUCAAUGGCAUUGAUGAAGGUCAGUUAAGAAGUGAAAUUAACAACUGCGUGCAAAUGAAACAACUAAAAGUAACUUAACAGCCGACAGAUUAUCAACUUCUAUUAAUAUGAUUAACAUUUAAAUCAUUUGGAUAAAAACAACGAUCAUGAACAUGAGCAAUAUUUAAUUACAACAAUCAUCAACUUCAUCAAAUCGCAGUGAUUACGGAAGAAAGUCAACAAAAUAUAAGUUAAUUUCAAUUCUACUCUCAGUUUAUAAUUCAAUAACUAACAAUAACCACUAAUAAUGAAGAUAAUAACACCAUCAAAUGAUAAUGAUAACAAUAAUCGACUGAUUGAUUUCAUUGAUUCAUUUUUCCUCACCUGGAAUCAACAGAUUAUUGUUAUUAUUAAAUUUUGAUUACUAUUGUUAUCAUUGUAGUAACAAUCCCACCCAAUCCUCAACAAGUUAACUGUUGAUAAAAGUGAAGAGCAGCUGAUUUAAUAUUUCUAAUAAUAACUCAUAGAUGAUUAACUAACUAACUUACUAACUGUUGAUUAUAAGGAAAAAAAAGUCAUUUCAAUUGUAUACUAAGAUCAACAUCCAUAGUUAAUCAAAUGAAAUGAAAAGUUUUUUUCAAAAAAAAAAUAUAAGCAAAUAAUGAGUAUCAACUUGAUUGUUGAAUACAAGAGAGGUUGAUAAAUUGUCCAUUGGUUAACCAUGAUCAUGAUUAAAUAUAAUAAAUGAUUACGAUUUAACAACGACAACAUAAGUUUGAUUGUUGUUAUGUCUCUUCAGAGAGAGCAGAAAAAAAAUUGUAAAGGUUAAUCAUAAAUCACUUAGAAGAAUCAACGAGAGAGAGAGAGAAAGAAAGAAAAAAAAGUGAAGCAGAAGAAAAGAAAGAUAAACCCACUUCCCGUUGUUUUCUUCCACCUCCUCUUCUCUCUCAUCAUCAUCUUCACCAUCAUCUCUUGAUCAUCAUCAUCUUGACACUCAAAAAAAACCCAUAGCUUUCAAUGUGAAUUAUAUUCAGUAAAAAGGUCAACAGUUCAUGAAGAAGGAACCAAAAAGAGAUGACACAAAAAAUGUCAAGUAUCAACUUUUGGAUGUUAAAGGUCACCACUACUACCAAAUACAUACACACACACAAGCACAGGAUGAGGUUUGGACAUCCUCUUGACCUCACAUCUUUUGGACCUACGGGGACAAAAAAAGCUCAAGAUAAAAAAAGUUAAAUCACAAAAUCAGCUUUAUCGAUCCACUCGAAUUAUCGUCUUCAUCUUUUAUCACCUCCAUCAUCUUCCUCAUCAUCUCAAUAAUAUUUUGAAAAUGUUUGAAUAUUAUUGAGCUGUUUUUACUAUUACCAUUUUACUUGAUUGUUGUUGAUACAAUCAAGUAAUUUAUCUGGGUGAGGUUAGUUUUAGAUAAUAAUAUAUAUUUAAUAUUAUAUAUUUAUGAUUGAGAUAAUUCAAUAAUCAGAAUUAUCUUCUUAAUUAUCUUUCUUCAUCUUCUUGUUCAAUGAAGGAUAAGUAACACAAAUUACAAGAUAAAGAUGUUAAAUCAUCUUUAAAUUGAAUUAAUUGACUUGAUCUCAUUGAUUAUUAUUUUUGUUUUCUUCAACUGAUUAUCAUCAUGAUGGUUUUAAUUUUAAUUCAUGGUGCUAUGAAUUAAUUACAUUGAAUCAAUUAACUUUAGUGAAUUAUUUGAGUUUAUAUAUGUGUGUGGACGUUAAUUAUCAUAAUCAUCUUGAUUAUCAUCAUUAUGAUCAGUUAAAUGAUGUCAUAUUUAUCACUUUGAGAAAACAAAAUUGUUAUUUAAAAAAAAUGAACCAAAUUAAUAUAUUUAUUAACGCCUACAGAAUCAACUAAUCAUUUCAAAUUAACUCUAAAUUAUUAUCAUUAAACUAAUCAACUUGAACAAAUUAUGUUCACCAAGAAGAAAAUUAACAAAAUUAAUUGCUCUAGGCUCUGUUUUAUGUCCACUAAUCAUAAUCAUGUAAUAUUUGUUAAUAAUAAUGACGAUCACAAAUUGAUUGUCAUUGAUUAGUCUAAAUUGUUGAAGCAAAACAUGAUAAAAAAAAGUAAUCAAAUCAAAUCAAAUUUUGUACAAUAAUAAUGGUAUUACAAUCAACUGACAUAGUUGUCAAUCAAUUGAACAUUUUUAUUGUUGAUUGAAAUUGAUAAUAUCUUAUUAAAAAGAAACGGAAAUGAUGAAGAAGAUGAUUUUUCUUAUUCUCUCUCUUCAACUAUUCAGUUUCUUUUGUUUCUCUUUCUUUAGCAUAAUUAUCAUUAUUUUUAUCUUCAUUUCAACUUGUCAAUAAGUUUCCGUUUCCCGUUUCCCUUAUCAUUGACACGAGAAGAUGAAAAAUAGGAAGAGGAGGAAGGAGAAAGAAAGGAAAAAGAUAAAGACGAUGCUGCUGCUGAAUCAUCAGAUCUUCAUCUCACCCCCUGAACUGAACAUAAAAUUUAAUCAAACAUUAAUUCAAUUAAAUCCAUGAUGAUGAUGAGAAUGAUGAUACAAUGAAUCGCUUUGAUGAUGAGAAAAAGCAAAAAGUGAUUAACAUUGAUUUCUUUGUAAUUAUCAUUAACACGAUAAUCUAUAAAAGAUUCAAUUGAUUGAUCAGACAACACAAACUCUGAUUGUUAUCUAUUUUUUUUUCCUAAACGAUAAUUAAGUUAAAUCAACGUAAUUUAACAUCAAGCAAAAAGUGAAUUCAAUGUUUACAAUUUAAGUUAAUUGUGUGAUUCUGUUUAAUAUCAGUAAGAUUAAGUGACAAGAUCAAGAUUCAAGUCAUGAAACAAUUUAAUCUCUGGAUCAAUCAAAUGAAAGAUUAUCAAACUGAUGUCUAAUUAAAAUCACAAGAAGAUUAAAUUGUAAUUAAAACUAAUCAAUACAAACUAACACACCACACACAUACAAAAAGUUUCUCAUUAUCAUUAUAUUAAUCAGGAGAUGAUUAAUAUAUUUGUCUUUGAAUAUAUCAAAGACACAAUGAUGAUAAAGAUGAUGAUGUUAUCAACAUCCUCCUCCUCCUCCUCAUCCUAAUCAGUCACACCCAAAAAUAACAAUCAAAUGAUGAUGAUGAUGAUUCAAUUUAUUAACAAUGAAUGAGAAAAAGUGUCUUGGAAAGGUGACAAAAAAAAAGAGAUGAAGAUGAAAAUUCAUCAUCUCAUUGACCUCCUACUGAUGGUGAUAAUAUUCAUCAUAUUUUUCAUCCUCAUGCAAAGUAAAUCAAAGAUGAAG